GGGGGGGGGGGCUACAGUUAGAUAAUAUUCUGGUCAGCACAUUCGAUAAACUACAUGGAAUUCAUUAAAUCACUUCUUUUUCUUUCAGUGGUCUUCAACUUUUAAUCUCCAAGAAGGAAAUGUAAUUAAAAGAUGAAUAAAGUAUCCCUAAGAAUACCAGAAGAAAGGCCAUGUGUUGAGAAAAACAGCCCUUCCUCAGUACCUCAGAACUAGAUGACAGCCCUUAAUUGUUACUUUAUGCUGAAUAUGACACAGUAUAGAAGAUCUGAUCAUGAAGAAGUAACACCAUUGAUACACUUGCCAACUGCCAAAAUUACUUUCUGAUAGUAUGACGAGAUUAGAAGAUAUCAUGGUGUAGUCAUGACACAAACUGCAAAUCAAAGAAUUAAUUGUCUUCCCCAGAGGAUGAACAGAGCACGAUGGCUUCACAUGGAUAACAUUUCCUUUCGAGUUUUGAAAUUAAUUUGUCAGAAUGUUAUGCAUCGUUAUCAACAGAAAAGAACUUCAUAGGUAGACCAAAGCUGACAUGGGAUGAGAUCCUAGAACAAGACCUAGAGUUUACAGGAUUGGAUAGGAUCAAUCCACUGGGUCGCCAAGUGUGGAAGUACAAACUUCAACCUCGACAGGACAGCCAGGCCUCACCCUUGCAAAAAGAUUAAUUUGGCCUGGAUAGUCAAAAUGAGUGAUGAUGAUUGAUAUCAAGGUCUGACACUGGAAGCUCAGUAAGGGUAGAUGCUGGCAAUGGAGCUGUUUAGCAAUAAAACAAACAAGUUUAACAUUAAACAUGUUUGUAUACUUUUUUGGCUCACCUGAGCCAAAGGCUCAAGUAAGCUUUUCUGAUCACCUUUGCCUGUCGUCUGUCUGUUUAUAAACUUUUCACAUUUUCAUUUUCUUCUCCAGAGUGAACCACUGGGCCAGUUUCAAUCAAACUUGGUAUGCAUCAUCAAUAGAUAAAGGGUAUUCAAGUUUGUUCAUAUAAAGGGUCAUGCACCCUUCAAAAAGGAAAUAAUCAUGGAAAUGCAAAAAUAGGGUGGGGUCAUUUAAAAAACCUUUUCAAGAACCACUGGACCAGGAAAGUUGAAUUCACACGAAAGGUUCCUGUUUUGUGCAAAUCAUGGUCUCUGGGGGUAGGGUGGGGUCACAAUAGAGAAUCAACGUUUUACAUUCAUAUAUAGUGCAUAUUCAAGUUUGUAAAAAGCUCACAGGGGUAGGGUGGGGGUCACAAUAGGGGAUUUAAGUUUUACAUGUGAAAUAUAUACAAGGAAAAUCUUUUAAAAUCUUCUCCUCAAAAACUAGAUGCAGAACCGUAGCUCUUUGAAAAGAGAGCUUCAGAUGAACCCCUUAUAAAAAAAACUUCAAUUUAUGGCAGAGAAAAAAAGUGCAUGUUUAAGUCCCUCUAUCACUGCAUUCCUGCAUCGCUGUCUCAUGAAUUUAAUAUUAAAUAAUUCCCAACAUAUUUUCCCACUAUACUUGUUUCCAAACAUACUUUCAAAUAUUUUCUAAACCCACAUAUAAC
This is a long non-coding RNA of Ostrea edulis (European flat oyster), 1516 nucleotides long. RefSeq lists it as uncharacterized. The transcript is spliced from 2 exons. The record is from RefSeq and is a predicted model, not a curated record. NCBI's taxonomy places the organism in Eukaryota, Metazoa, Mollusca, Bivalvia, Ostreida, Ostreidae.